UCCCUGGUGGACUAGUGGUUAGACCACACCGCUCUCACCACUAUGGCCUGGGUUCGAGGCCCCGCCAGGGAA
Molecule: non-coding RNA, 72 nt
Organism: Pangasianodon gigas (Mekong giant catfish)
Lineage: Eukaryota; Metazoa; Chordata; Actinopteri; Siluriformes; Pangasiidae
Source: the annotation of a GenBank genome assembly